Molecule: ribosomal RNA, 364 nt
Filed under: uncultured eukaryote
Lineage: Eukaryota
Description: partial 18S ribosomal RNA
Rfam family: Eukaryotic small subunit ribosomal RNA
Source: RNAcentral
CAAAAGCGUAUAUUAAAGUUGUUGCAGUUAAAAAGCUCGUAGUUGAACCUUGGGCUUGGCUGGCCGGUCCAUCUUUUUUGAUGCGUACUGGACCCAGCCGAGCCUUUCCUUCUGGCUAGCCUUUUGGCGAACCAGGACUUUUACUUUGAAAAAAUUAGAGUGUUCAAAGCAGGCCUUUGCUCGAAUAUAUUAGCAUGGAAUGAUAGAAUAGGACGUUAUGGUUCUAUUUUGUUGGUUUCUAGGACCAUCGUAAUGAUUAAUAGGGACGGUCGGGGGUAUCAGUAUUCAGUUGUCAGAGGUGAAAUUCUUGGAUUUACUGAAGACUAACUACUGCGAAAGCAUUUACCAAGGACGUUUUCAUUAA